RNAcentral lists this transfer RNA (77 nucleotides) under Candidatus Omnitrophota bacterium. RNAcentral's name for it is "Candidatus Omnitrophica bacterium tRNA-His". It matches the Rfam family "tRNA". From Rfam's summary of the family: Transfer RNA (tRNA) molecules are approximately 80 nucleotides in length. Their secondary structure includes four short double-helical elements and three loops (D, anti-codon, and T loops). The record is from RNAcentral. Lineage: Bacteria; Pseudomonadati; Candidatus Omnitrophota.
GUGGUUGUAGCUCAGUUGGUUAGAGCGCUUGACUGUGGCUCAAGAGGUCGCCGGUUCAAAUCCGGUCAGCCACCCCA